RNAcentral lists this ribosomal RNA (505 nucleotides) under uncultured bacterium. Its description in RNAcentral is "bacterial SSU rRNA". It matches the Rfam family "Bacterial small subunit ribosomal RNA", at positions 28 to 520 of the family's 1533-position model. The record is from RNAcentral.
GAUGAACGCUAGCUACAGGCUUAACACAUGCAAGUCGAGGGGCAGCAUGACGAUAGCUUGCUAUUGUCGAUGGCGACCGGCGCACGGGUGAGUAACGCGUAUCCAACCUUCCCGUUGCUAGGGGAUAACCUUGCGAAAGUAAGACUAAUACCCUAUGAAGUUCUUCGCAGACAUCUAAAGAGAACGAAAGAUUUAUCGGCAACGGAUGGGGAUGCGUCUGAUUAGCUUGUUGGCGGGGUAACGGCCCACCAAGGCGACGAUCAGUAGGGGUUCUGAGAGGAAGGUCCCCCCACAUUGGAACUGAGACACGGUCCAAACUCCUACGGGAGGCAGCAGUGAGGAAUAUUGGUCAAUGGGCGAGAGCCUGAACCAGCCAAGUAGCGUGCAGGAUGACGGCCCUAUGGGUUGUAAACUGCUUUUAUAAGGGAAUAAAGUGAGUCUCGUGAGACUUUUUGCAUGUACCUUAUGAAUAAGGACCGGCUAAUUCCGUGCCAGCAGCCGACGG